GGAAAAUCGCAUGAGAAUUGCAUGUUGCCAACAUACAUUUUUUUUUCAGACUAUGAUGACAUCAGAAAAAAUCUAUAUAUUAUACAAUAAGGUAGGCAAACUUGAUGGUUUAUGGUUUGCACCAGCUUGGCCUAUUAGUUCCUUGAGACUCCAAGGAAGUGCAACCUCGCAGUAAGGAAAAUGUUAGCAUGUUUUGUGAAUCUAUCCAGUUCAGAAAAUUCCAAUAAAGCCUCCCAAAUCUUCACUUCAAAUU
Molecule: unclassified non-coding RNA, 253 nt
Filed under: Hevea brasiliensis (rubber tree)
Lineage: Eukaryota; Viridiplantae; Streptophyta; Magnoliopsida; Malpighiales; Euphorbiaceae
Source: RNAcentral